UACGUAGGUGGCAAGCGUUGUCCGGAAUUAUUGGGCGUAAAGCGCGCGCAGGCGGUCCUUUAAGUCUGAUGUGAAAUCCCACGGCUCAACCGUGGAAGGUCAUUGGAAACUGGGGGACUUGAGUACAGAAGAGGAAAGCGGAAUUCCAAGUGUAGCGGUGAAAUGCGUAGAGAUUUGGAGGAACACCAGUGGCGAAGGCGGCUGUCUGGGGUAUUGCUGACGCUGAGGCACGAAAGCCAGGGGAGCGAACGGG
This 253-nucleotide ribosomal RNA is filed under the name uncultured bacterium. RNAcentral describes it as "partial 16S ribosomal RNA". It matches the Rfam family "Bacterial small subunit ribosomal RNA", at positions 524 to 776 of the family's 1533-position model. The record is from RNAcentral.